This 253-nucleotide ribosomal RNA is filed under the name uncultured bacterium. Its description in RNAcentral is "partial 16S ribosomal RNA". It matches the Rfam family "Bacterial small subunit ribosomal RNA", at positions 524 to 776 of the family's 1533-position model. The record is from RNAcentral.
UACGGAGGGGGCUAGCGUUGUUCGGAAUUACUGGGCGUAAAGCGCACGUAGGCGGCUUUGCAAGUUAGAGGUGAAAGCCCGGGGCUCAACUCCGGAGUUGCCUUUAAAACUGCAUCGCUAGAAUUGUGGAGAGGUAAGUGGAAUUCCGAGUGUAGAGGUGAAAUUCGUAGAUAUUCGGAAGAACACCAGUGGCGAAGGCGGCAUCCUGGACCGAUACUGACGCUGAGGAGCGAAAGCCAGGGGAGCAAACGGG